Molecule: long non-coding RNA, 926 nt
Organism: Orbicella faveolata
Lineage: Eukaryota; Metazoa; Cnidaria; Anthozoa; Scleractinia; Merulinidae
Source: RefSeq, a predicted model, not a curated record
UUAGGAAAAUUUUGGUCACGUCACCCCGGCUGCAAAGGGCCUAUUGCUUGGAAUGCCUGACACAGAAAGUAUUCGUAUACACAUAGUCUGAAAUGCUAGUCAUUUCAUGCCCUCAUUUCAGGCUAGUAAGCACACACAUUUGUUUAAUUUACUUUUAUUAUUGCCAGUUGCUUUGGAAGUACUGAAUAUAUACGAGGUAACUUGUUUUUUUUGCAUCAGUAUGACCCCAUGAUCAUUUCAUUUUGUCUCAGAAUAGAUUAUUCUCCAUCAAUGAGACAAAAACGCAGCCUAGAUUGAAUACUGAUCAUGCUCAUCCAACUUGGAAAUUACUUGUCCAACUACUCCCUUAAUUGUAAUUGGUACACUUACUAUUAAUAAUUAUCAAUUAUUAUAAUUAUUAUAUGCAUUCAACAUUGGUUUCUGUAGCAUGAAAAACAAGAGAAACUAAUUGUGCUGGUAUCCAUUUAUACUCCAUUGUGGAGAGAGGCUCUAUGGGGCUUACAUUGUGACAUUGUUUCAACAUGCAUACUUGCAAUGAUACAACUGUGACAAAUGGAUCUUUAAUGUUUGUUAUUAUGUACAUGCAGAUGGCUUCUUCUACCCAGAUGUGGUGAAGUACAAAAAGAUGUGCCGGAAAGCUAAAUACAAGGAAUACAAGAUUCAACAACAAAGAUAUCACAAGAAAGUAUUGAGAGAAAUACUUAUCUCCCGGCAGGUAAUAAUGGUACCUAAUUGCAUCCCCGAGGAUUGCUAUCUUUUUAAUUGCUGCGGAGCGAGCGUAGCGAGCGAGCAGCAACAUAAUCAGGAUUUAAGAAGAAUAUAUAGAAAGGGGUACGAAUUCUCAAAUUCAUCACUUUUUACCAGAAUGCAUUGCAGUUAACCAGACUGCACUGCGCCACUUUUACUGGAGUGCAUUGCGCCACGAA